GAUGAACGCUGGCGGCGUGCCUAACACAUGCAAGUCGAACGAAGCACCUUACCUGAUUCUUCGUAUGAAAGUUUGGUGACUGAGUGGCGGACGGGUGAGUAACGCGUGGGUAACCUGCCCUGUACAGGGGAUUACAGGCGGAAACCGGCUCCUAUUCCCCCUUAACCGACGGGGGGGAAAUUUCUUUUUUUGAAAAACUCCGGUGGUACAGGUUGGGCCCGCGUCUGAUUAGCUGGUUGGCAGGGUAACGGCCUACCAAGGCAACGAUCAGUAGCCGGGCUGAGAGGAGGAACGGCCACAGUGGAACUGAGACACGGUCCAAACUCCUACGGGAGGCAGCAGUGGGGAAUAUUGCACAAUGGGGGAAACACUGAUGCAGCAACGCCGCGUGAGUGAAGAAGUAUUUCGGUAUGUAAAGCUCUAUCAGCAGGGAAGAUAAUGACGGUACCUGACUAAGAAGCUCCGGCUAAAUACGUG
This 477-nucleotide ribosomal RNA is filed under the name uncultured bacterium. Its description in RNAcentral is "partial 16S ribosomal RNA". It matches the Rfam family "Bacterial small subunit ribosomal RNA", at positions 28 to 507 of the family's 1533-position model. The record is from RNAcentral.